CCUACGGGAGGCUGCAGUGGGGAAUAUUGCACAAUGGGGGAAACCCUGAUGCAGCGACGCCGCGUGAGUGAAGAAGUAUCUCGGUACGUAAAGCCCUAUCAGCAGGGAAGAAAAUGACGGUACCUGACUAAGAAGCCCCGGCUAACUACGUGCCAGCAGCCGCGGUAAUACGUAGGGGGCAAGCGUUAUCCGGAUUUACUGGGUGUAAAGGGAGCGUAGACGGCAGAGCAAGUCUGGGGUGAAAUCCCGUGGCUUAACCCGAGAACUGCUUUGGAAACUGUGCGGCUGGAGUGCAGGAGGGGUAAGCGGAAUUCCUGGUGUAGCGGUAAAAUGCGUAGAGAUUAAGAGGAAUACUGGUGGCGAAGGCGGCUUACUAGACUAUAACUGACGUUGAGGCUCGAAAGCGUGGGGAGCAAACAGGAUUAGAUACCCUGGUAGUC
Molecule: ribosomal RNA, 440 nt
Filed under: uncultured bacterium
Lineage: Bacteria
Description: partial 16S ribosomal RNA
Rfam family: Bacterial small subunit ribosomal RNA
Source: RNAcentral